Molecule: ribosomal RNA, 492 nt
Filed under: uncultured bacterium
Lineage: Bacteria
Description: partial 16S ribosomal RNA
Rfam family: Bacterial small subunit ribosomal RNA
Source: RNAcentral
AGUGAACGCUGGCGGUAGGUCUAACACAUGCAAGUCGAACGGCAGCACAGUAAGAGCUUGCUCUUACGGGUGGCGAGUGGCGGACGGGUGAGGAAUACAUCGGAAUCUACUUUUUCGUGGGGGAUAACGUAGGGAAACUUACGCUAAUACCGCAUACGACCUACGGGUGAAAGCAGGGGAUCUUCGGACCUUGCGCGAUUGAAUGAGCCGAUGUCGGAUUAGCUAGUUGGCGGGGUAAAGGCCCACCAAGGCGACGAUCCGUAGCUGGUCUGAGAGGAUGAUCAGCCACACUGGAACUGAGACACGGUCCAGACUCCUACGGGAGGCAGCAGUGGGGAAUAUUGGACAAUGGGCGCAAGCCUGAUCCAGCCAUACCGCGUGGGUGAAGAAGGCCUUCGGGUUGUAAAGCCCUUUUGUUGGGAAAGAAAAGCAGCAGGUUAAUACCCCGCUGCUCUGACGGUACCCAAAGAAUAAGCACCGGCUAACUUCGUG